RNAcentral lists this ribosomal RNA (514 nucleotides) under uncultured bacterium. RNAcentral's name for it is "bacterial SSU rRNA". It matches the Rfam family "Bacterial small subunit ribosomal RNA", at positions 354 to 874 of the family's 1533-position model. The record is from RNAcentral.
CUGGGGCAACUUGCGCAUGGGCGAAGCCUGAGCAGCAACGCCGCCUGAGGGAUGACGGCCCUCGGGCUGUAAACCUACCUCAGAUCCGACGAAGCGGAACUGACGGUAGGAGCAGAGGAAGCACCGGCCAACUACGUGCCAGCAGCCGCGGUAAUACGUAGGGUGCAAGCGCUGUCCGGAACUUCUGGGCGUAAAGAGCUCGUAGGCGGUCUGUCGCGUCGGCUGUGAAAACUCGGGGCUCAACUCCGAGCUUGCAGUCGAUACGGGCAAGGCUAUUUUUUUGGCGGGGGGAAAAUGGAUUUUCCGGGUGUUGGGGUGUAAAAUGCCCAAAUAUCAGGAGGAACACCGGUGGCGAAGGCGGGUCUCUGGGCCGAUACUGACGCUGAGGAGCGAAAGCGUGGGGAGCGAACAGGAUUAGAUACCCUGGUAUUCCACGCCGUAAACUUUGGGCGCUAGGUGUGGGAUCCUUUCCAUUGUUUUCCUUGCCGCAUCUAACGCAUUAAGCCCCCCGCCU